This 253-nucleotide ribosomal RNA is filed under the name uncultured bacterium. Its description in RNAcentral is "partial 16S ribosomal RNA". It matches the Rfam family "Bacterial small subunit ribosomal RNA", at positions 524 to 776 of the family's 1533-position model. The record is from RNAcentral.
GACGAGGGGUCCUAGCGUUGCUCGGAAUCAUUGGGCGUAAAGCGAAUGUAGGCGGCUUUGCAAGUCAGUUGUGAAAUCCCCAGGCUUAACUUGGGAACUGCUUCUGAUACUGCAGAGCUAGAGUACGGGAGAGGGCAGUAGAAUUCCUGGUGUAGUGGUGAAAUACGUAGAUAUCAGGAGGAAUACCGGCGGCGAAGGCGGCUGCCUGGCCCAAUACUGACGCUGAGAUUCGAAAGCGUGGGGAUCAAACAGG